UUUUUGCGUUAACGAUUGAAGCGACAUCCUUUUUGUUUUCACAAAAAGAUACAGCGAAAAGCGUGUUAAAAC
This 72-nucleotide small RNA is filed under the name Pedobacter psychrophilus. Its description in RNAcentral is "Pedobacter sp. CCM 8644 Flavo-1 RNA". It matches the Rfam family "Flavo-1 RNA". The record is from Rfam by way of RNAcentral. Lineage: Bacteria; Pseudomonadati; Bacteroidota; Sphingobacteriia; Sphingobacteriales; Sphingobacteriaceae.